Molecule: long non-coding RNA, 829 nt
Organism: Cyanistes caeruleus (blue tit)
Lineage: Eukaryota; Metazoa; Chordata; Aves; Passeriformes; Paridae
Source: RefSeq, a predicted model, not a curated record
GCUUCCGUCCCAGCGAAGGAACGCAGCUGCGUCACGGGGUCGCAGCUCAUCUUUCGCACAGCACCACUUUAAACUAAAACACCUGUCCGGGCGUGUUGUGCAGACCCUCCUCGAGCUCUGCCAGGCUUGGUGCCAUGACAAAUUACCUUCUUCUGAAUCCUCUUCCAGGGACCGACCACCUCUCAGCGGGUCACCAGGGGAGAUCAGCACGUCCCCGACCGGUGCCCCCGAUGAGGAAGGUGUCCUCAGCCUCAGGCUCCCCCUGCACCUUCCCCAAGAUGAACAAGCCAAGUGACCCCGAUACUUUUCAUCGUCUUGGCCUCCCUACUCCUGACACACUCUUAGCAGUCUGAUGUCCUUCUUAAAUUAAGGUGCCUAAACUGGACAUAGGACUUGACGUGGGGUGUGCAACCCCACAGCGCAGUGUAGAAUGGGACAGUCACCUCCUUCGACUGGCCAGCAGUGCUGUGCCUGACUCCACAACAUAGUCAGCCCCUUUGGCUGUCACUUUUGGCACACUCUUGACUUCUAUUCAACUAGCUAUUAACCCAGAAACUUAUAUUGCUGUUUAUGGGGCUGCAAUCCAGCCUCUCAUCCCCCAAUUUCUCUGUGCGACCACAAUUGCCCUGUCCUGGGUGAACAAUCUGGCACUAGCUAGAUUUUAGAUGAUUAGUCAUUGAUCAACUGUGUCCAGAUCUAUGUCGGGCUCCUCUACCAUCAAGGGGGUCAACAGCUCCCCCUGGUUUAGUAUAAUUGGACUUACUUCCUGCAACCAGAUAAUUUUUAAGAACAUUAAAGAGCACUGUCAAUAAAACUGAGUCCUGGGGAA